UUGCACCCUGACGAAAGGGGAGGGGGGACGAGGAAAGAUAAGUAAAACGAACUACAUCAAAAAUACCUAAAAUCUCAAGUGAUCUCAAAUCUGGCCAAAUGAUCCUUACCAUAGGUGCCAUUAUACAGGGCCCAGUACACAUAGCAGACGUGGAUUGUUGACUGAUCUGCGCCUGACCAAAAACGAGCGUAAAUGUCUUCAGAGCUGUAUGGGUGAAAUCGUUCCAUUUCCAGAUGGUGGAAUCGUGGGAGGUAAUUGAUUAUUUGGAAUAUAAUUUGAUAUCAUCGAAGAUUGAAGGCCUUGUGAAAGACCACCGCAAGGUGGUGGUGCAGGACAACAAGCACAUGGUGCACAGGGUCCGGAACAUUUAAGCAACUUGCGUUGUUGCUCGAGUUGUUGACGUUCUCGUUGAACAUUUGCUAGUUCUAUCUGCAUAUUUCGUACUUCACACUCCAUACUACCUAAUUGUUGAGCCUAUAGAUGAAUAAAAACUUAUUGUAAAAAUUAAAACAGAGGAUAAUAUCAGGAUGGAAAAUGAAAAAAAUAUUGAAUAUUAAACAAAAGUACCAAUUGUUUGGUAUUGUUCCCAUAAAUAGCAAAUUUAUUUUCUAAUUCAGCCGGGCAAACACCUCUUGGUGUCGGCUCAGGACAUGGUUUUGUACAAACUGUAGGACUACGGAAACACAUCUCUUCGAUUUGCGAUGAACUUCUACUCAAUAUACAAUUGCCUGUUCUCGAUGCACCACCUGCUAAUCUCGAUGAGCCUAAUACAUUAAAAAGGUAGGUGACUGAACGGGACUGUCGCAUGGGACACAAUAUUUGCACUGGCAACAACCGUGAUCUUGAAGCGAGGAAGUUACUUGGGAAUAUGCUGGCAAAGGUGAGACCACUGGCGGUGAACAAGAUGAUCUACGUUCUGGACAUGUGUAACAGCAAGUAGAACUUGCAAACCGCAUACCUUCCGUUGAAGACACUCCACAGCUGUAUCUUUCUCCAAUAGUGCUUCUUCCAAUUUGUAUCUAUAAAUUUAAUCGCGACAAAAAUAGGCGACGCUCGUUCCUUAUCAAUGACAUAUAUUCGAAUCACACGUUGCACGUUAUAAAUAGGAUGUAUUCAUUUUCAAUCAGGUUGUCAUAAAGUUGUAAAUGACUGUAUCGUGCUCGUCGAGCUUAAAAAUUACAUCUUGCGACAUUCGUUAGGCAAAAACAUUGAUAGCUCGUUGUCACGGUGAUUAAUUGACGUUUUUAUCAUUUCUUUGUUUAACAUUCGAUUGUUUCGAUGUAACUUAAUGUAUCUAUAUUUUGUAAAAUCAGUAAUACAAUUAAUCUUUACAAACAUACUUUCCA
Molecule: long non-coding RNA, 1346 nt
Organism: Vespa mandarinia (Asian giant hornet)
Lineage: Eukaryota; Metazoa; Arthropoda; Insecta; Hymenoptera; Vespidae
Source: RefSeq, a predicted model, not a curated record